Molecule: ribosomal RNA, 254 nt
Filed under: uncultured bacterium
Lineage: Bacteria
Description: partial 16S ribosomal RNA
Rfam family: Bacterial small subunit ribosomal RNA
Source: RNAcentral
UACGGAGGGGGCUAGCGUUGUUCGGAAUUACUGGGCGUAAAGGGCGCGCAGGCGGCUGCUCAAGUCAGGCGUGAAAGGCCUGGGCUCAACCCGGGAAUUGCGCUUGAGACUGGGCUGGCUUGAGUGCGGGAGAGGAUGGUGGAAUUCCCAGUGUAGAGGUGAAAUUCGUAGAUAUUGGGAAGAACACCGGUGGCGAAGGCGGCGACCUGGGUCGAGACUGACGCUGAGGCGCGAAAGCGUGGGGAGCAAACAGG